UCGAGAAUCAUUCGCAAUGGGCGAAAGCCUGACGAUGCGACGCCGUGUGAGCGAAGAAGGCCUUCGGGUCGUAAAGCUCUUUCGCUUGGGAACAAGAGAAGUUGGCUAAUAACCAGCUAAUUUGAGUGUACCAGGUAAAGAAGCACCGGCUAACUCCGUGCCAGCAGCUGCGGUAAUACGGAGGGUGCAAGCAUUAAUCGGAUUUAUUGGGCGUAAAGGGCGCGUAGGCGGAUAUGUAAGUCAGAUGUGAAAUUCUUGGGCUCAACCUAAGAACUGCAUUUGAAACUGCAUUGUCUAGAGGAUAGGCGGAGAAAACGGAAUUCCACAAGUAGCGGUGAAAUGCGUAGAUAUGUGGAAGAACACCGGUGGCGAAGGCGGUUUUCUAGCUUAUUCCUGACGCUGAAGCGCGAAAGCAAGGGGAUCAAACA
Molecule: ribosomal RNA, 428 nt
Filed under: uncultured Candidatus Protochlamydia sp.
Lineage: Bacteria; Pseudomonadati; Chlamydiota; Chlamydiia; Parachlamydiales; Parachlamydiaceae
Description: bacterial SSU rRNA
Rfam family: Bacterial small subunit ribosomal RNA
Source: RNAcentral